RNAcentral lists this ribosomal RNA (439 nucleotides) under uncultured bacterium. Its description in RNAcentral is "partial 16S ribosomal RNA". It matches the Rfam family "Bacterial small subunit ribosomal RNA", at positions 339 to 795 of the family's 1533-position model. The record is from RNAcentral.
CUACGGGCGGCACCAGUGAGGAAUAUUGGACAAUGGAGGAAACUCUGAUCCAGCCAUGCCGCGUGAGUGAAGAAGGCCUUAGGGUUGUAAAGCUCUUUCAGUAGUGAAGAUAAUGACGGUAACUACAGAAGAAGCUCCGGCUAAAUUCGUGCCAGCAGCCGCGGUAAUACGAAUGGAGCAAGCGUUGUUCGGAAUCACUGGGCUUAAAGCGUGCGCAGGCGGAAAUGAAAGUCAGAAGUGAAAUCCCAGGGCUCAACCCUGGAACUGCUUUUGAAACUUCAUUUCUAGAAUCCGAUAGAGGUUAGGAGAAUUCCUAGUGUAGAGGUGAAAUUCGCAGAUAUUAGGAGGAAUACCAGUGGCGUAGGCGCCUAACUGGAUCGGUAUUGACGCUCAUGUACGAAAGCGUGGGGAGCAAACAGGAUUAGAUACCCUCGUAGUC